RNAcentral lists this transfer RNA (71 nucleotides) under Danio rerio (zebrafish). It matches the Rfam family "tRNA". From Rfam's summary of the family: Transfer RNA (tRNA) molecules are approximately 80 nucleotides in length. Their secondary structure includes four short double-helical elements and three loops (D, anti-codon, and T loops). The record is from Rfam by way of RNAcentral. Lineage: Eukaryota; Metazoa; Chordata; Actinopteri; Cypriniformes; Danionidae.
CGAAAUAGCUCAGUUUAUGAGUGUGUUAGACUGAAGAUCUAAAGGUUCCUGGUUCGAUCCAGGGGUUUCGG